UACGGGGGGAGCAAGCGUUGUUCGGAUUUACUGGGCGUAAAGGGCGCGUAGGCGGUCAGCACAAGUCAGUUGUGAAAUCUCCGGGCUUAACUCGGAAAGGUCAACUGAUACUGUGCGACUAGAGUGCGGAAGGGGCAACUGGAAUUCUCGGUGUAGCGGUGAAAUGCGUAGAUAUCGAGAGGAACACCUGCGGCGAAGGCGGGUUGCUGGGCUGACACUGACGCUGACUGUGCGAAAGCUAGGGGAGCGAACGGG
This 255-nucleotide ribosomal RNA is filed under the name uncultured bacterium. Its description in RNAcentral is "partial 16S ribosomal RNA". It matches the Rfam family "Bacterial small subunit ribosomal RNA", at positions 524 to 776 of the family's 1533-position model. The record is from RNAcentral.